RNAcentral lists this ribosomal RNA (422 nucleotides) under uncultured bacterium. Its description in RNAcentral is "bacterial SSU rRNA". It matches the Rfam family "Bacterial small subunit ribosomal RNA", at positions 355 to 774 of the family's 1533-position model. The record is from RNAcentral.
UGAGGAAUAUUGGACAAUGGGCGCAAGCCUGAUCCAGCCAUGCCGCGUGCAGGAAGAAGCAUCUCUGGUGUGUAAACUGCUUUUGUACGGGAAGAAACACUCCUUCGUGAAGGAGCUUGACGGUACCGUAAGAAUAAGGAUCGGCUAACUCCGUGCCAGCAGCCGCGGUAAUACGGAGGAUCCAAGCGUUAUCCGGCAUCAUUGGGUUUAAAGGGUCCGUAGGCGGUUUAAUAAGUCAGUGGUGAAAGCCCAUCGCUCAACGAUGGAACGGCCAUUGAUACUGCUAGACUUGAAUUAUUAGGAAGUAACUAGAAUAUGUAGUGUAGCGGUGAAAUGCUGAGAUAUGACAUGGAAUAACAAUUGAGAAGGAAGGUUACUACUAAUGGAUUGACGCUGAUGGACGAGAGCGUGGAGAGCGAACA